RNAcentral lists this ribosomal RNA (253 nucleotides) under uncultured bacterium. RNAcentral describes it as "partial 16S ribosomal RNA". It matches the Rfam family "Bacterial small subunit ribosomal RNA", at positions 524 to 776 of the family's 1533-position model. The record is from RNAcentral.
UACGUAGGGUCCAAGCGUUGUCCGGAUUUAUUGGGCGUAAAGAGCGUGUAGGCGGCCAGACAGGUCCGUUGUGAAAACUCGAGGCUCAACCUCGAGACGUCGAUGGAAACCGUCUGGCUAGAGUCCGGAAGAGGAGUGUGGAAUUCCUGGUGUAGCGGUGAAAUGCGCAGAUAUCAGGAAGAACACCUAUGGCGAAGGCAGCACUCUGGGACGGUACUGACGCUGAGACGCGAAAGCGUGGGGAGCGAACAGG